GACGAACCGUGCGAACGUUGUUCGGAAUCACUGGGCUUAAAGGGCGCGUAGGCGGGCUCGCAAGUCAGGGGUGAAAGCCCGCGGCUCAACCGCGGAAGCGCCUUUGAUACUGCGGGCCUCGAGGGGGGUAGGGGCGUGCGGAACUUCCGGUGGAGCGGUGAAAUGCGUAGAUAUCGGAAGGAACACCGGUGGCGAAAGCGGCGCGCUGGACCCCUUCUGACGCUGAGGCGCGAAAGCCAGGGGAGCAAACCGG
RNAcentral lists this ribosomal RNA (253 nucleotides) under uncultured bacterium. RNAcentral describes it as "partial 16S ribosomal RNA". It matches the Rfam family "Bacterial small subunit ribosomal RNA", at positions 524 to 776 of the family's 1533-position model. The record is from RNAcentral.